GCCGGACGCGGCUGUAGUCUCAGCUACUCGGAAGGCUGAGGUGGGAGGAUUGCUUGAGCCCAGGAGUUCUGGGCUGUACUGCGAUAUGCUGAUCUGGUGUCCUCACUAAGUUCGGCAUCAAUAUGGUGACGUCCCAGGAGUGGGGGACCACCAGGUUGCCUAAGGAGGGGUGAACUGGCCCAGGUCGGAAACGGAGCAGGUCAAAACUCCCAUGCUGAUCAGUAGUGGGAUCACCUACUAGUGUUAGUGGCCUGUGAAUAGCCACUGCACUCCAGCCUGGGCAACAUAGCAAGACCCUGUCUCU
RNAcentral lists this signal recognition particle RNA (304 nucleotides) under Aotus nancymaae (Ma's night monkey). RNAcentral describes it as "Metazoan signal recognition particle RNA (ENSANAG00000006308.1)". It matches the Rfam family "Metazoan signal recognition particle RNA". Rfam says of the family: The signal recognition particle (SRP) is a universally conserved ribonucleoprotein. Lineage: Eukaryota; Metazoa; Chordata; Mammalia; Primates; Aotidae. The record is from RNAcentral.